This 329-nucleotide long non-coding RNA is filed under the name Struthio camelus australis. Its description in RNAcentral is "lncRNA (ENSSCUG00000008284.1)". The record is from RNAcentral. Lineage: Eukaryota; Metazoa; Chordata; Aves; Struthioniformes; Struthionidae.
UAAGAGUGUGAUUUCCAGUUACGCUAAAAUGCCAGGCUGUUCCAGUGCCUCAGAGCUUGAGGACAGCAGAAUUAAUGUGCUGCUGGGCCUGUGGGAGAAGCCAGGAUUUGGGGAGUCUUGGGGAGGAGUUGCAAGUCCCUUGUAGCAUCAAGCAUCAAGCAUCAAGCAUCACGCAUCACUAUAUGCAAAUGCAGCUUUAUGCCCUCAUCCUAAGUUAAAGAUCUGAUUCUGCCUUCCCACACCAUCGAAGAGGAUAGUCUAUAUCUUAGAGGCACUGUGAGAGGUGCUUAACACCCAGGGAAUCUGAAGGAGAAGAACAACUGGUAAAG